Molecule: ribosomal RNA, 206 nt
Filed under: uncultured delta proteobacterium
Lineage: Bacteria; Deltaproteobacteria
Description: partial 16S ribosomal RNA
Rfam family: Bacterial small subunit ribosomal RNA
Source: RNAcentral
CGUGCAGGCGGUUCGUUAAGUCUGAUGUGAAAGCCCCGGGCUCAACCCGGGAAGUGCAUUGGAAACUGGCGAACUUGAGUACGGGAGAGGGAAGUGGAAUUCCGAGUGUAGGGUGAAAUCCGUAGAUAUUCGGAGGAACACCAGUGGCGAAGGCGGCUUCCUGGACCGAUACUGACGCUGAGACGCGAAAGCGUGGGGAGCAAACA